UUCUCUGCGGGACANCGGUUGGAAACGACCGCUAAUACCGCAUACGCCCUCCGGGGGAAAGGUCAGCCGGAGAAAGAGGGGCCCGCGUUCGAUUAGCUAGUUGGUGGGGUAAAAGCCUACCAAGGCAACGAUCGAUAGCUGGUCUGAGAGGAUGAUCAGCCACACUGGGACUGAGACACGGCCCANACUCCUACGGGAGGCAGCAGUGGGGAAUAUUGGACAAUGGGGGCAACCCUGAUCCAGCAAUGCCGCGUGUGUGAUGAAGGCCCUAGGGUUGUAAAGCACUUUCACUGGUGAAGAUGAUGACGGUAGCCAGAGAAGAAGCCCCGGCUAACUUCGUGCCAGCAGCCGCGGUAAUACGAAGGGGGCGAGCGUUGUUCGGAAUUACUGGGCGUAAAGGGCGCGUAGGCGGUCCUUUAAGUUAGGCGUGAAAGCCCCGGGCUCAACCUGGGAACUGCGCUUGAUACUGGAGGACUAGAAAACGGAAGAGGGUAGUGGAAUUCCCAGUGUAGAGGUGAAAUUCGUAGAUNUUGGGAAGAACACCAGUGGCGAAAGCGGCUACCUGGUCCGAUUUUGACGCUGAGGCGCGAAAGCGUGNGGAGCAAACAGGAUUAGAUACCCUGGUAGUCCACGCCGUAAACGAUGUCUGCUAGAUGUCGGGGGGUUACCCCUCGGUGUCGCCGCUAACGCAUUAAGCAGACCGCCNGGGAAGUACGGUCGC
This 721-nucleotide ribosomal RNA is filed under the name uncultured SAR116 cluster alpha proteobacterium. Its description in RNAcentral is "SSU rRNA". It matches the Rfam family "Bacterial small subunit ribosomal RNA", at positions 132 to 889 of the family's 1533-position model. The record is from RNAcentral. Lineage: Bacteria; Pseudomonadati; Pseudomonadota; Alphaproteobacteria; Puniceispirillales (SeqCode).